RNAcentral lists this ribosomal RNA (502 nucleotides) under uncultured bacterium. RNAcentral's name for it is "partial 16S ribosomal RNA". It matches the Rfam family "Bacterial small subunit ribosomal RNA", at positions 29 to 523 of the family's 1533-position model. The record is from RNAcentral.
AUUGAACGCUGGCGGCAUGCUUUACACAUGCAAGUCGAGCGGCAGCGCGGGGGCAACCCUGGCGGCGAGCGGCGAACGGGUGAGUAAUACAUCGGAACGUGUCCCGUAGUGGGGGAUAACCCGGCGAAAGCCGGACUAAUACCGCAUAUGCUCUACGGAGGAAAGUGGGGGACCCGCAAGGGCCUCACGCUAUGGGAGCGGCCGAUGUCCGAUUAGCUUGUUGGUGAGGUAACGGCUUACCAAGGCGACGAUCGGUAGCUGGUCUGAGAGGAUGAUCAGCCACACUGGGACUGAGACACGGCCCAGACUCCUACGGGAGGCAGCAGUGGGGAAUUUUGGACAAUGGGGGCAACCCUGAUCCAGCCAUGCCGCGUGCGGGAAGAAGGCCUUCGGGUUGUAAACCGCUUUUGUCCGGGGAGAAAAGGCACCUCCUAAUACGGGGUGCUCUUGACGGUACUGGAAGAAUAAGCACCGGCUAACUACGUGCCAGCAGCCGCGGUAA